GUUGUACAGGGAGCUGUUCUGAUUGUGCUACUGAGACUGUUCUUCCAGUGAGUGAAAUGUUUUCAUGCCAGGAGAGGUCAAACUACUAUUAUUACUGCUCAUCGGCUUUCUCCCACUCAGAUUGCAGUGUAAUCGUGGGCAUUGUGGAUGGCACAGUGGUGAAAAUGGGAACACACACAGAGCUGAUGGGGAAAAAGGAGCCAGAUUAUUCACUUCCAACCUCACAGAAAUCUCUGUCCCAAAUGUAUUUCCUGAAGACACUGAAAUAAACAAGUAUUAAUAGUCAUCUUUUGGUCCAGAAGGGCUAGCCUUGAAGCUAGGUGGCUGUCGUGUUCAGCAGAGUAACCUGUUGAAGAAACAGCCUCCACUGACUGUUUAAAUUGUGCUGGAUUUAGUGUUUGUAGCCAAGGAAUCAUGGUAUGGGAAGUGAGGAAGUGUUUGCUGUGGAACAGUUUUGAUUUGGUUGUUUCUAUACUUAUUCUUACAAGCUACUGCGAUAAACCAUGUAUAUCAUGUAAG
Gallus gallus (chicken) is the source of this 519-nucleotide long non-coding RNA. The record is from Ensembl. Lineage: Eukaryota; Metazoa; Chordata; Aves; Galliformes; Phasianidae.